UCAGGCUGCCAGCCACUGGCCCCUCAUUGACCGAUGGCUAAGGGCAGGGGGGCAUUGUCUUUGAGCCUGGUUCCUCUCCCCUUCCCCGCCCGUCCCUGUUACUCUGAAGCACUGGAGAGAAAAUGCCAAAUAUCAGGUGCAGUCCAUGGAAACCACCACAGUGAAACACAGCAAAUCACAGAUGCUCUGGAGAAAUGGAGACCACACAGCGCACAGAGAGGCCUGAGGAGGAUCGAGAUGAAAUACUGUAUGGAAAAUGUCGAGUGCAGCACAUCGUUAAUGUAUAAUCGAUGUCAGCUACCGCUAUUCAAAAGUGUGGCUUCCAGAGACAGGCUGACCAGGGGACCAGGAUCGGCCCAAAGAAGCCAGCCGUUAACUCAGGUUGGAAGGUGCCCAGAAGUACUCUGCAAGCCACAGCGUCUACAGGAAGCGCCCAGGUGGCCACGGCUCUCAAGAGGAAUCCACACUAGUUCCUGCCACCCUGUUUCUGCACGUGCUGUUCUUUCCACCUGGGAUGCCCUUUCUCCCUGCUCUGCCUGGCUAAGUUCUCAUCAUGGUCCUCUAAGGCAGUUCAAGAACUCCAUGACUACGACCCCAGCCCCGCACCCAGGGCCGGGAUGGGUCCUUCUGUGGGGCUUCCUUGGGCAUAGCCCAGAGCACAAAGAGACGCAGCUCUUACUUUGAUAAACAUUAUUAAAUGAAUAAAUGAAUGAGAAGCA
This is a long non-coding RNA of Pan troglodytes (chimpanzee), 719 nucleotides long. RefSeq lists it as uncharacterized. The record is from RefSeq and is a predicted model, not a curated record. The transcript has 2 exons. NCBI's taxonomy places the organism in Eukaryota, Metazoa, Chordata, Mammalia, Primates, Hominidae.